This is a long non-coding RNA of Cyprinus carpio carpio, 1089 nucleotides long. The record is from Ensembl. NCBI's taxonomy places the organism in Eukaryota, Metazoa, Chordata, Actinopteri, Cypriniformes, Cyprinidae.
GUGACAACAUGUGCAGACCGUUUAAAAUACAGAUCCUGCAGAUGACAGCUCAGUGACAGUGUUUUUAAUAUCAGUAAACAGCAUCUAUUCCAGCACAUAAACAAACAGAACCGACAACCUCUGCGAUAAAGUGCAGGAAUGGAGAGUCACUAUUAAGGGAUGUGUUUGAACAGAAGCAGAGCUCUGGGACGUGUGGACAGACUUUCACUGUAAUGAUGGACAUCCGCUCGUGGACAGACAUCCCCAGGAUGGGGGCCCAUCAAAGGUGACCCAACCCAAUGAUGGAGCCACAUUGUCAUGAAAAGGGCUGGUGUGGAUCUCCUGUCCUGGCUCCAUCAGCUCUACAGUAGCAGGCUCUGGGCUAUCAGACCAGGGUGAGAAAGAUGAUCCUUCUGCAGGUCAAGGGUCAUAUCUAAACACCUACACACUGAGUGUUUCCUUGUAGAGGUUAAGAGACUGUUUCACUUUUCAUGGUAAAUGUUCCCAACCUAGAUCUUGGUCUGGUCACUCAUGUCCCGAUGUAUCACAAUUUAAAUGUCACUUUUUGCAAACGCCAUCUUUUGUUUUUCACAUAAUGCCAUUUAGACGUAUAUGUUCUCAAAGACAGUGAUGUUAAUGUUUUUUAGUCUCUACGCAAAGCUAUGGAGGAACUCAUAAGUGUCAUAAAAAAAGAUUAUUUAAUAAAAAAAUUUAAUUAAAAAAUAAAAAUAGAAAUAAGAUAGAAACUUAUGCUUAUUUAAUUCCUCUUGAAAAAUUAAGAUAAAUGUAACAUUUUUAAGUUGACAAAUUAUAAACAGCUUUUUUAAUGUUUAUAUAUAUAUAUGUGUGUGUGUGUGUGUGUACAAAUAUAUGCUUGAUUGAUUUUUAAAUGACAAAUUCACUUAAUGGCACUUAAUAAGGCACAUAUCAUUAUUGAUACUUUUCAUAUUAGGCAUUUCAGGACCGGGCAGAAGAUUAACCUAUAGACUUACAUUGGAAGAGGCAUACAGGGACUAGAAUGUCAUGUCACUUGAUGGUGGGCUGUUUUCACUUAGACCUGUUAGAAACCACAUAGCAACAACAACCUAGCAAUGACUUUUGAAGGCCAAC